Picea glauca (white spruce) is the source of this 1391-nucleotide non-coding RNA. Lineage: Eukaryota; Viridiplantae; Streptophyta; Pinopsida; Pinales; Pinaceae. The record is from Rfam.
AGCCAUGUAUCAAGGGUGCACUAUGCACGAGCAUCGAAAGGGAAUCGGGUUAAUAUUCCUAAACCGGGACAUGGCGGCGGACGACAAUGUUAGGAAAUCUGGAGAUGUCGUCGGGGGCCCCAAGAAGAGUUAUCUUUUCUUUUUAAUAGCUUGCCCACCCUGAAAUCGGUUCAACUGGAGAUAGGGUCCAGCAGCUGGAAGAGCAUCGCACGUCUUGCAGUGUUCGGUGCACCCUCGGCAGCCCUUGAAAAUAUGGAGGACCGAGUACCGUCCAUGCCCGGUCGUACUCAUAACCGCAUGAGGUCUCCAAGGUGAACAACCUCUAGUCAAUAGAACAAUGUAGGUAAGGGAAGUCGGCAAAACGGAUCCAUAACUUUAGGAAAAGGAUUGGCUCUGAGGGCUGGGCCUAGGGGUCUACUUCCUCAACCCGUGGGCUAUCGGUAGUCUUCCCGAGUUGCUAUCACGGUGAGGGCGGGUAGUCGUGUGCCGAUUGGGCUACGCACGUAGAAUGUCCUCUCGCAUGGGCUUUUCCCUAGGCAGCGAACAGUUGACUCAGAACUGGUAGGAACAAAGGGAAUCCGACUGUUUAAUUAAAACAAAGCAUUGCAAUGGUCCUUGCGGAUGCUGACGCAAUGUGAUUUCUGCCCAGUGCUCUGAAUGUCAAAGUGAAGAAAUUCAACCAAGCGCGGGUAAACAGUGGGAGUAAGUAUGACUCUCUUAAGGUAGCCAAAUGCCUUGUCAUCUAAUUAGUGAUGCGCAUGAAUGGAUUAAUGAGAUUCCCACUGUCCCUAUCUACUAUCUAGCGAAACCACAGCCAAGGGAACGGGCUUGGCAAAUUUAGUGGGGAAAGAAGACCCUGUUGAGCUUGACUCUAGUUUGACUUUGUGAAAUGACUUGAGAGGUGUAGAAUAAGUGGGAUCCAUUUUCAGUGCAAGUGAAAUACCACUACUUUUAACGUUAUUUUACUUAUUCAGUGGGGCGGAGACGGGACAUUGCACCUAUUUUUGGCCUUAAGACACGUUUCGAUAGGUCGAUCUGGGCGGAAUACAUUGUCAGGUGGGGAUUUUGGCUGGGGAAGCACAUCUGUUAAAAGAUAGCGCAGGUGUCCUAAGAUGAGCUCAACGAGAACAUAAAUCUUGUGUGGAACAAAAGGGUAAAAGCUCAUUUGAUUUUUAUUUUCAGUACGAAUACAAACUGUGAAAGCGUGGCCUAUCGAUCCUUUAGGCUUUCGGAAUUUGAAGCUAGAGUUGUUAGAAAAGUUACCACAGGGAUAACUGGCUUGUGGCAGCCAAGCGUUCAUAGCGACAUUGCUUUUUGAUCCUUCAAUUUCGGCUCUUCCUAUCAUUGUGAAGCAGAAUUCACCAAGUGUUGGAUUGUUCACCCACCAAUAG